Molecule: long non-coding RNA, 4874 nt
Organism: Mauremys reevesii (Reeves's turtle)
Lineage: Eukaryota; Metazoa; Chordata; Testudines; Geoemydidae
Exons: 4
Source: RefSeq, a predicted model, not a curated record
CAGAGCAGUGGUGGGUGUCAGGGGAGGAUGUAUUUGGGUGCUGGGAGCAGGGAAGGGUGCUAAGGGCUGUGGUAGGGGAAUGGUGCAUGACUAUAGGGGAUUAAGGCCCCAGCCCCUUUUUGCCUCUUGCCUACUCCCCCUUUGUCUCACCUGUGUCUCCCUUCUCUCCCCCUUGCUCCCUUCUCCCCUGCCCUCCAGCAGUAACUGAUAUAAGACAAGGGCCAAGUAGUCCACAGGCUACUGCCUCCUCUCCCACGACAGACAGGAGCAGAUAGGAGGAUGGCCAGGCGCCUGGAUGUGCUAAUCCACAUAGAGCCUUUGCCUCAGCUCCUAUACAGCAUAGUACAUUGCCCCCAACACGCAUUUUUCAUGUAUCCGACAAAUUAACUCCUGCUCCAGCAUCUCCCUUUUUUAACUAAAAUGCACAAGCAGGAAAUAGCUGUUGCAGGACAUAUUCACACCAUCUCUAGGUUACAUUUCUCAUCCCCCCCCUUAUUUUCUCCCUGCUUCGUGCCUGCUCUGUCCAGCUUUUUUGCCUCUUUGCCGGAAGCACCAGCAGAGAUGGCAAUGUGCUUCCUGCCGGAAUGAGAGGAAAACCAGAAGCUAGGGAGCAUGUGGCUGAGAGAAGAGGGACUAAGAACAUUGGGAGGAAAGCACAUGACCAGAAUUCCAUUUAAAUUAAUGGAUGAUGCAGAGACCCAGUCCUUUUUUGACUCCUGCACAUGAAUUUAAAUACCAAGCAGCAGACUGAGAGCCAGAAGCUGCAGAGCUCUUAUUUGGACUGUGACAGCAAUCUCCUCCUUGGACCUGGGAGGAGAGAGGAAAAGAGCUGAGCUCAGAUUGCACUUCCAAGGCAGAUCUGUGAAGAAAGAAUGAGAGAAAUUAGAAAUGGGACAGACCCGCUGAUGUCAUCCAGUCUGUCUCCUCUGGGGGCCAGUUCAGAUUGCCCCUUCAGUACGCUUGUGAGUGCCACAUUCAAGACCUUCAUGACCUAUCCCCACCCUACCUAUCAUCUGUAUUCAUUACUGAAAGGUCAACUCCUGCCGCCAAUCAGCCCAUGAUGCCAGCCUCUAUUGUCUACUUGUUACAUUUUCAAACAAGCACCUUUGUUUUCUGCCCUGUUGCCCCUCACAUCUGGGAAAAACUCCCUCUAAACAUCGCAAAACUAACUCUAAACCCUCUUUAAAACUUCACUCUGGCGUGAAGUCUAUAAAAACAUGAAAAUGGUUAGGCUGCUGGUGUGCUGAGCCACUGCCUAUUAUGCUGACCAACAUUGACUCAUUGUUUUCCAGUACUCCCCUGUUGACCUGUCUGUUUCCAUCUGUUUUGUGACUCUGUAACAGGGCCAGCUGCCUCCUGAGCACCCCCUCAUAGCCAGAGGUCAUUCUGAAGUGCCCUGCUACCAAUUUCUCCCCUUCUCAGGGCCCCACUUAUUGACUCCUUCUGUACUGGCCCCCCAGGCCCCAAUCCCCCUUCAAUCACUCUGCCCCUUUAGGCAGAGUCUCCCCAGGACUAGAUCCCAAUACAAAGUCUCUCAGGCUUUACCUAGCUGGAGUUCAGCCGUCUGGCUUCCAGGCCCACAAGCCCUUCUCUCAGUCAGGGUCUGUAGUGGGAGCUGGAUCCAGUAUUUCCAGGUUUUACCUGGCUGGAGCGCAGCCUCCCUCAGCUCUCUGGUUCUGGCUUCCAGUCCAAAACCCUUCUCUAAGUCAGGGUCCCUAGCAGGAACCUCCUACUCACUCCUGUCACAGCUCUCUUAGUCAGAAUCUGGCUACCAUUCCCUGAGCUCCCCCUUUCCCCUUCAUUGCAGCCUCCUGCUGUUCUUUGCAGGACAGCCACCCUGAUCUUUUCCAGCUGUGACUCAUUCUGUCAGUAGGGUUGGCUAGCCACAGCCCUUUGGUGGGUGAACCAUGCUGUUACAGUCUCUGUAAGCUCUUUGGGGGCAGACAGAGUCCUUUUGCUGUGUCUGCAUAGUGCCUAGCACAAUGGGGUCCUGGCCCACGACUAGGGCUCCUAGGCACUAUGAUAAAUAUGAUUCAAAUAAGAAAUAAUCAUUUGUCCCAUUCCAGGGUUGAGUAUUCCAAGUCUUCUCAGGACUAGGUGUACUAGAGUUCUCAACUUACCAAUUCCAGUGCCCUCCUCCUUGUUCUCUGACAUUAUCCAAAGAAAAAGUUGGCAGAUGAACAUACUCAAUCCAGCCAGGGUCCUUGCUCACAAAGAACUGCAUGCAGUAGCGAGUUCCUUGUGCACUUCCAAAUAAGCUACAUGGACCAGCUAGGGGAAGGGGAGAAAUCUCACCUUACGGGUGACUUGGCUGGUUUGAAGAAAUAACAGUAAAAUCCUCCACAUUCAUCAGGCCCAAGAGUUUAAUUUUAAAAGUACCAAAGUGCCCACUGGGAAACGGCCCAGGCAUCUAGCGAAAGCACAGUCUGUGCCAUGCAGAGAGCAGGCUUCAGAUCUGUCUUUAACCCAGUUGGCAAAGAAGGGGAGUGAUGCAGGAAUGGCGGGGGGCCCUCCUGCUGGCCCAGCAGUGCUGUGAUGAGAGCUGCACUCAUCCCUUUUCAGCCAGCAGAACGGGGAAACGGGGAAUAUCUUGCAAGACAACUCCCACCUGAACAAUUCUAUAAGCUUCAGCAUUACACCACUGUUUGUGAAGCCACAGGCUCUCUAUAAUAAUUCUUUGUGUAUGUUCAAAGCCCUUUACCAACAUUAACCAAGUGAUUGGUGGCUGAAAUGCAGGCAUAGGUGGUGGGGGGAAAUAUGGUAUUGCUGAGUCACUGUUGCCUCGCUCCAGGGCUUCCUUCAGGUGCUAUUUAAAGAGCAUUAGGCUCUAGCCAAUAUGGUUUACACACAAAAAAUGGUAGGUGCAAGUGAGCCCGUUGGGAACAUUCUCUUCUGCUGGUUCUCGUGUCUGGCCCCAGCUGCGUGACACUGCUGUUUUCCUUGGCGCCCUUACAGAGCAGGCUAAGGGGCUAUUCUGGCUCCCUCUCACGUGCUAGCACCCAGGAUGUGCAAACUAAUGAGAAUGAAGAGGCUUUCUUGUAAUUAGUGCAGCUCUGCUCUGGGGAGCCAUUUGGGUCUUAGAAAAACAAAGCAAUAGUAGAAAGACCCACCCACUCGGUGCCAUCUGCAACAGUAUGCGGGAAUGGAUGGUCUGGCAGGCUGCUAGUGGUUAGAGCCCGAUCACAACAGCACUAUUCCACAUUUCUAUAGGACUUAGGAAGGCCAUUAGGAGUCAGGUAAAAACAUGGCACCAGUAACAAAUCAUUAUGCCAAAAGAUGCAUCUGUUUCAGAAUUUCAUGGCUUCCAAAGUGCCUAUGAUCUAAUCUGGAUCUUAGUGGUCAGGCAUCCAGUGACUUUCAAUGUAGAUUUUUCAGCAGAGCCGAUUUUAUCACAUUCACAAAGAAUGGGCUUUUGUUUCUCAGGCAGACAGCUUCCCUUUUUUCCAUGCGAAAAGGAGCUGAGCAGAGGCGGAUAUUAUGUGGGCAGAGAUUCUCCAGGACACUGCUAAUAGGAUGCUAGGUUAUCUGGAAUAUAACAACAGCUGCAGCUAUUUGGCUUCUUCUCUGAGCACAAGUCUGCAUGUGCAUAUAGCACUGAUUUAGCUAAUCUGCUCUUGCUCCCUGAAAGGACAAUCAAACAUUUCGCAUUUGGGAAGAACAAGACUAGAGGGAAAGUUGCAUUGCAAAUUGAGAAAAAGACACCCUGACUCUUACGUUUGGGGCAGCUCUCUCGGCAGAGUUAGUUUAUUAUUUUGUCAGUCUCAUGACUUAGCUGUUAGUUUUAUCUCACUCAACUAAUAUCGCAGCCUAAUCCACUGAAGCCUGUAAUAGGCUUUGGAAUAACAGGGGUUUACAUCCUCAUUAGUGUUCAGCACUAGAUGUCAGAAGAAAGUAACAUCGGCAGAGUCCCCUGUAAGACAGCCGAAUCCAAAGAGAGCUGCUAGGUAGUAGGGGCGGUUGGGGAAUGGAAAAAUCUAAAAUUCACCUUGAGGAUUGGAAAGGGGGGACAAACAUGGGUGAGGGGUAACUAAAAGGGAGCAGGGAUGGGCAGGAGAAGUACAAGGAAGGGAAAGUUACGAAGAGCCUGAGCCUGCAAACAGUUACUAUGAACUUAGUCCCACUGAAGUCAAUAGUAGUGAGUAUUUGCUCGGUGACUUUAAGGCAGGGACUCCCUCCCACCUCUAUGCCGGUUACAGCAUGGAGCUCACUGACAGCACUCCACUAAUGUUUAUACUAGGCAGUAGAUUGAUGUCCUUAUAAUGCACAUACAGUGAAGCUAGAAUUGCACAUUGGUGUUGUGUGUAUUCAGGCUCUGUGGAGCCUGCUUGCUGGCGAUUCAGCCACCUUACACAGAGUGUGAAAAAUGCACAUGCCUGAGCUCCAUAGCUAUGCUGAUCUAACUCCCAGUGUAGACACAACUAGAUGGAGGGAAGCAUCUACUCUAUGGCGGUACAAUGGUAUAGAGAUGGUGCUGUAGCUGUGCCAUUGUAGGGCGCAUACUGUAAACACAGUCUUAGUGACCUGAUUUUCAGAAAUGCUGAGGACCCAGCACUUCCUAUUGAAAGUAGGAGCUACGGGUCCUCAACACUUCUGAAGAUCAGGGGCGGCUCCAGGCACCAGCACGCCAAGCGCGUGCCUGGGGCGGCAAGCUACGAGGGGACCUCCCACAGGCGUGCCGCCGAAUCCGCGGGACCGGGGACCUCCCGCAGGCAAGCCGUCGAAGGCAGCCUGCCUGCCGUGCUUGGGACGGUAAAAUACCUAGAGCCGCCCCUGCUGAAGAUUACACCACUUAUUUUGGAGCUUAUCCAUUAGCUCCGGCUUUUCAAUACCUUAGUCAAGACUCCUGCAUUCUUUCCCAGCUGUUCCAGUGACAC